CCUCCCAUCCACAGUGUGCUUUUGCUGUCUGCGGGGGGAAGGGAGAGUUCGGCUCCUGCAACACCCACAAGGCCAAGGGCCCCAGGAAAGGGGAGGGGCAAGAUCAUUACUCAAUCAGCCUGGCCAGCUUUGGAGGAUGCCACCUCAUGGGCAUCCCUCCAAAGUGACAUGGCCCCCUGCCCCUCGCCUCACUGACUGCCUGCAGCUGCUCUAUCCCAGGGGACUUGGCUCCACUGCCGAAUUGACCUUUGAGGCUCCAAAUGAGGUCUCAUCUCAGUCUCCCCACCAAGAAGUCCUGCAGGUCUCUUGCUCCAGGGAGGAAUGGUAGAGGGACCAGAGCUGUUUCUUCCCACCCCGUCUCUGCCCUGGCCCAUAAGGCCAGAAGAAGAAAGGCAUGAAGACAAGACAGGGCUGUGAACCCGUGUCACAUAGGGACGGCUGGUGAAACUUCUCCUGGCACUGAGGACUUGGCUGUGGGCAGAACUGAGCUUGGAUGAACUCUGAGAGGGCAGCGUAGCUGUUAACUGCAACAGAGAACCCAGAGUGACUGGGAAGUCUUCCCACAGGCGUCUGGACUUUGGCAUUGAAUGGGAAGGCACAUUUGCCCUGAGUCUAGAGCCGAACCUCACACCUUCAAUGAGCAAUUGCCUCUGUCCUUGUUUUAAGUGAACUAUUGACCGAAAAUGGCCACAUGGAAGAGAAAGGCACCCAGUUGAUGAACAAGACAUAGGGCACAGCCCCAGCUGCGACAGAAGUCAUGGGUUCAUGACCCAGCUCUGACCUUCCAGGCUGUGGGACUUCUGAGGCAGCUGCUGAGCCUGGAACCCAGCCCCUCCCCUCUUCUUAGACCCAUGAGGACAUGGAACACGGAUGUUCUUCCUCUUUGAGGCCCCAGCCUGGUUCCUGACAAGCAGAAAUCAUUUGAUGAAGACAUAACUGCUACUGAUAAACCCCAAGGCUUUAGAAUCUCAACUGGCCAGACCUACUGGGUGGGAAAUUCAAGAGGCCUGCUCGGGGCUAGGUGGCUGCUGUAUGUCUAUCUGUUCUAAUGACUGCUACGCCACAAGUCAUCUGCAACCACUUACAUGUCUGCACCUCCAGAACUGCUCUGAAUGUGGGUGCCCCAUGCAUCCCCUACUUGCCCAGUGUCUACCUCCCAUGGUCAUAGUCCCUUGAGACACACUUUCCAAGACCUCCUGCUACCAAGGGCUCUACCCGCCCCCCCGCCCUGCCCCCAGCCACAGAGGGCACAGACUGAGCACAGAUGGAACAGGCCCAAGCACUGGACACCUUCCUGGAUCCAACCCUGUUUAAGAACAGAAAGGCAGAAGGAGAGGCCUGGGAGGGGUAUGCCGUCCCCAUCCCAGCCCAAGUCCCCACCUCCCAAGCAGAAACCAGGAGCAUGGGGGGAGCCUCAACUGACCUCCCAGGAAGAGCCAGAGCUGAGUGGUGCCUGGACCAGGGAAGACGGCACGCACGUUGACUCGGUAGCAAGUGGAGGUAUCUGGGGGUCGCAAGGGGCAGGGACCCCCCACGAAAUUCAUGCAGCAUUCAAAGUGAGUGUUUGGGGGUGAUAGGAGAGGACAGAGAAACAGCCAGUGGGUGGGGGUGGUGCCCUAGAUCUUGCUGUUCUCCAGGUGGGAGUCAAUGUGUUUGAUGAGGGCAUCAUCCGGGUACCCGACAGGGAAACCCAGCUGGCAGAGGGGGCAGCUGCGGAUGUCGGAGCCCACCGUCUCCAUCAGCAACUGUGGGGAGAGAAGGAAGUCACUUAUGGUCCCCAGCCCCCACCCAUGAUCCCCACAUCCCAGCCUGCCCUGUCCCAGGACCCAGGGCAGGGAGGGCUGUGGCAUGCAGGAGAGGUUCUGCCACCCUUUCUUCAGCACUGUCCUCCCCCACACCAGCUCAGUGUCCACCCACUUGCCCAGGGACAGGGUCCCCAGGAGGCAGGUAUGAGAGAGUCACUGCUCAGCUUGCCAGGGCAUCUGUGGUAAUGAGGGAAACCAAGACCCAGACAUGCCCCCAGCGUGACUAAGACACAGCUCCCGGAUAACUCAAAGCAAUGGACAAUCCUAAACAAGGUACAACCCCAAAAUAA
Long non-coding RNA from Piliocolobus tephrosceles (Ugandan red Colobus), 2095 nucleotides. RefSeq lists it as uncharacterized. The record is from RefSeq and is a predicted model, not a curated record. The transcript is spliced from 3 exons. Lineage: Eukaryota; Metazoa; Chordata; Mammalia; Primates; Cercopithecidae.